AGUAGGAGUUGGGUAAAAUAAGGCUGAGACCUAAUGAACUGCAUUCCCAGAUGGUAAAGGCAUUCUAAGUUGCAGGAUGAGGUAGAAGGUCAGCACAAGAUAUAGAUCAUAAAGACCUUGUUGAUAAAAGAGGCUACAGCUGUACCACAGAAGUGGGGACACACCAGAAUGUAAGCAUACAAAACCAAACAACACUACAGGCAUGGAAAAAAAUCACAAUGCUGAAUUUGCACAAGAAAAGAUGAAUCACUACAAAUGCUGCCUAAGAAGAGAAGAAACUUCAAAAUAUUGGCAUCUGAAAAACACAGCUUAACCAAGGAGGGAAAACUACAUACUAUAUAGAUGUACUGUCCUUUAAACUACAGAUACCUUAAGAGGAUUACAUUAUCUGUUACUGAAAAGAUAAAGCUGAUUCCUAAAACAAGAGUAUAAAAUGGCACUCUUCCUAACUCUGAGUUCAGUUAUAUCAUGUUAUCUUGAAAUCAGCCACAGUGAGAGCACUUUAAACUAUGAAAAUAAGCCAUUACUACGCAUCAGAACUCUCACCCUCAGCUUCCACGUGGCUUAGCUGACCAGACUACCACUGUUUGUACAGUUCCACGUUUGACGAAAGCAUGGACAUCAUCUGAUAACCAUGAUCCCGUGGUCUGGGACUUAGCACAGACGUCCUUAUUUGGUUCCCGCUGGCAGCAUGAUCUAGGUACAACAUUGCAGCUUGGAAAGACAAGAGAAAGCCAAAUUUCCCACUUAUGAGAAUUCCAAAGUAUAACUCGAAGAAUACCCUCCUCCUAUGUUAAUUCAGAGGAACAAGAAGACAAAGGUGAAGAAGAAUACAGAUGAGGAAGAAGUGAUAACAAAAAGAAGAAAUGGGAGAGAAAAAUAAAGAGAAUGAAAAAAUGGCUUGUUCUGUUGUUUCCACAGUGGUCUAAAUGUGUGGCCAUUAUUCAUUCUUUGUUUCA
Molecule: non-coding RNA, 959 nt
Organism: Callithrix jacchus (white-tufted-ear marmoset)
Lineage: Eukaryota; Metazoa; Chordata; Mammalia; Primates; Cebidae
Source: RefSeq, a predicted model, not a curated record